CACCUCUAGCCAAUUAACAUAUAUUAGAGGCACUGCCUGCCCAGUGAUAACAUUUUUAACGGCCGCGGUAUUCUGACCGUGCAAAGGUAGCAUAAUCACUUGUCUUUUAAAUUAAGACUAGUAUGAAUGGCAACACGAAAGCUUAACUGUCUCCUCUAUCUAGUCAAUGAAAUUGAUCUUCUUGUACAAAAGCAAGAAUAUAAAAACAAGACGAGAAGACCCUAUGGAACUUUAAACACAUAAGCCACCUUAUUACCCUAUCUAAUAAUAUAACAAACUGGCAUACUGUUUUUGGUUGGGGUGACCACGGAGAAACAUCUAACCUCCGAGAAUUAUACUAAGAUUCUACAUAUCAAAGUACUAAACCUUAGAUUAUGACCCAAUAAACUUGAUCAACGAACCAAGCUACCCUAGGGAUAACAGCGCAAUCUUCUUCAAGAGCCCAUAUCGCCAAGAAGGUUUACGACCUCGAUGUUGGAUCAGGAUUACCAAACAGUGCAGCCGCUGUCAAAGGUUUGUUUGUUCAACAAUUAAAAUCCU
This 540-nucleotide ribosomal RNA is filed under the name Gegeneophis madhavai. RNAcentral's name for it is "partial 16S ribosomal RNA". It matches the Rfam family "Bacterial large subunit ribosomal RNA", at positions 1816 to 2597 of the family's 2925-position model. The record is from RNAcentral. Lineage: Eukaryota; Metazoa; Chordata; Amphibia; Gymnophiona; Indotyphlidae.